GAUGAACGCUGGCGGCGUGCCUAAUACAUGCAAGUCGAGCGAAUGGAUUAAGAGCUUGCUCUUAUGAAGUUAGCGGCGGACGGGUGAGUAACACGUGGGUAACCUGCCCAUAAGACUGGGAUAACUCCGGGAAACCGGGGCUAAUACCGGAUAACAUUUUGAACCGCAUGGUUCGAAAUUGAAAGGCGGCUUCGGCUGUCACUUAUGGAUGGACCCGCGGCGCAUUAGCUAGUUGGGGAGGUAACGGCUCACCAAGGCCACGAUGUUUAGCCGACAGGAGGGGGUCAGCGGCCACACUGGGACUGGGGCACGGCCCAGACUCCUACGGGAGGCAGCAGUAGGGAAUCUUCCGCAAUGGACGAAGGUCUGACGGAGCAACGCCGCGUGAGUGAUGAAGGCUUUCGGGUCGUAAAACUCUGUUGUUAGGGAAGAACAAGUGCUAGUUGAAUAAGCUGGCACCUUGACGGUACCUAACCAGAAAGCCACGGCUAACUACGUGCCAGCAGCCGCCGCCG
This 515-nucleotide ribosomal RNA is filed under the name uncultured bacterium. RNAcentral's name for it is "partial 16S ribosomal RNA". It matches the Rfam family "Bacterial small subunit ribosomal RNA", at positions 28 to 523 of the family's 1533-position model. The record is from RNAcentral.